Molecule: long non-coding RNA, 2525 nt
Organism: Anastrepha ludens (Mexican fruit fly)
Lineage: Eukaryota; Metazoa; Arthropoda; Insecta; Diptera; Tephritidae
Exons: 3
Source: RefSeq, a predicted model, not a curated record
GAUGUUGGAGUUAUUCCACGAUACUGAGCUCAAUGAUUUUCGUGCCUGGCUCCAAGUGCCAGCAAUACAGCGCCUUUCAGUUGGUGUUCCGGUUUCGGGUUGUGCUGUUCGUUGCCUUUUCCUCCUAAAUAACAAACGUGUCGUUUUCUCAUCCAUCUACAUACAUACACAUAAACAUACAUACAAAUGUACAUACAUACGCAUGCACAUAUAUCUGCAUACAAACAUUGACAAAGAAGUUACAAAAAAAAAAACGAUAAUAAAAAAAUACCUACAACAAAAAGACAGAAACAGUAAAUGUAUAUGGACUUUGAAAAGUGAAAGAAGAAAUUGAUGAAAAUGACCACCAAAUUAGCGAAUAUCAACAGACAACAGAUAAAAGACAAAAUGACAAGCAUCAGUGGAUAGAUACGACAAACCGCAAUGCGAAUAAGGGGGAAAAUGCACGAAAUGUAUUAGCAGCAGGAGGAAUGAACGGCCAAGUAAAAAAGUAAAAAGAAUGCGAUGAAAGAGGCAACUGACAGAAAUUGACUGAAAAAAAACAAAGCAAUUGGCGCUUGUUGGCAUUAAAAGGCAACAACGCAAAUUGAAUUAGUGAGAAACUAAAAUUGUGUUGUGGAAAAUUAAAAUUAGCAACAUUUUUACAAAUCUAAAACCAUAAUCGGGUAAUAAACAACAUUCAAAAUAAUGACUUAAGGUGAAAUUGCGCAGAAUUAUUGAAAAAUUACCGUUCUUUUCUGAGCUUGUUUGUUGAAUGCAAAAUAUGGGAAAGUUCCGACAGCAGCCGAGCAUCACUUAAAUGUGUUUCAAAAUAUUUUCUUGCGAACCAAUAACUAAAACACACGAAAACGAAAAAAAAAAGAAAAAUUGCAUUCAAUAAAUUUGUAAUUAUAUAAAAAAAAUUUAAAAAUGCCAGAAAAGUGUAAAAAAUUAUGUAAAAACGAAACUUAGCAAAAAACAAAAAGUGAAAAACUUCGAACCAAAAAAAAUUGAGUUGCAAUUAAUUACAAAAAAAAAACAAAAGUAAAAAAAGUGACAACUAAACACUGAAACUUAAAAAUAAUAUUGGUUUUUUGCGAAAUUAGCAAUUUAAAAUAAUUAUUUCUAUUAUAUAGAAAAAGAAAACUUGCGGCUAAUUAAUAGAUAAUUGGCAAAAUGUGCAAAGAACGGGAAACGAAAAAAUAAUAAUCGCCAACAAAAGAAAAAUAAAGUAAAUUAAAAUAAAAAAUACAAAAGCCCAACCAAAUUGAAAGUAAAUUUCAUUGAAAAUCAAAUAAACAAACUGCAACUGGCAUUCGCAGCCAACACUCCGCGUGUGUUUCAAUUUUCACACUUCCAUUACAAAGCGAUUACAUCAGAUCAAAGUAGUUAAAGCAAAUAAACAAUAAACCAAUAAAUUAGAAUUGUAAUUUGCAAAAAAUCACGCACAUAUACUGCAUACAUACAAAAACAAAGAUAUGAUAGAGUAAAUACUUAAUUAGAAAAUAAAAUAAUAUCAAAUUUCAUAGUCAACCAGUAGUUAAAUAUUUGUAAAAGCGCAAAUGCAAAUUGUUUCCACUAGCAGGCAAAGAAAAAGAAAUAUUUCACUAAUUGCAUUAAAUAAACACAUUAAAAAAUCAUUAAACAAAUAAAUUACAUACCAAUUUCGUGUAAUUCAGCGCAUUAAAAGCGAGAAUGGCAACCGUUUGAUGUUUGUAAAAAUACGCAAAGUUAGUUGAAAAAAAUAAAUUCCAUAAAUUGAAAGCAUUUCGCCAUACGUGAAACAAAUUUUCAUCACUCCAACGCUUCAAAAACCAAAAAAAAAUUAUAAAAAAUUAAACAAAAACUUAACUUCUGAAUGUCCUUCUAUGGAAAUCCUCGCAUUUAAAUUAGUGAAUUAAAAGCAAAAAAUAAAGGCAAAUUAACAAAACAAACAAAACAUUAAAUAUAAUUCGUUACAAUUAAGCAAAGCAAAACAUAAAAAUAACAGAAAAAAAAUCAACAGCAACGUACACGCACAUAUACAUAUGUAAGUUCAAACGAAUGCAUUCAGCAGCUACGCAAUAAAUAUUUCAUGAAAUUAUUGUAAGUGUUAUACGACAAAAAGAAAGCAACAAAAAGUAUAAAUAUUUAGAAAGUCGCCCGCGAUUGACGCGCCACUCUCAUUUUCGUCGAAAUAAAAAGUAAAUUGUGGCAUAUUUUUAAGCGCUCAUCAAAUCGAGAGAAUAAACUAAUUAUAUAAACCAUCUAAAAAAAUCAUAUAACAUUAAUAUAAAAUCACUCAACUAACUGCGUAAAUAAUUUAUAUGUAUUCGUGCAUUCCAAACAUACACUCAUACAUACUUACAUAUAUAGCGAUUGUUUCUUAAAACGGUGUUGUGUAGCAUAAGAUUAGAGUGAAUUCAAUAGUAACGAAACGAAGGCUAAUCCCAAAUCUUGCAUUGUACGAGCGAACAAAGAGUUGGUGGAGAGAGGUAAGCGUGCGAAUGUCGAUUGACAAAUAAUUUAAUCAAAAUUUGAAUUAUCUAAAUUAAUGUUGGAUGGUG